This 960-nucleotide ribosomal RNA is filed under the name uncultured organism. RNAcentral describes it as "bacterial SSU rRNA". It matches the Rfam family "Bacterial small subunit ribosomal RNA", at positions 470 to 1428 of the family's 1533-position model. The record is from RNAcentral.
UGACGGUACCCUACUAGAAAGGAGCCGCUAACUUCGUGCCAGAAGCGUCGGUAAUACGGGGGCUCCAAGCGUUAUCCGGUGUUAUUGGGCGUAAAGAGUCGUGUAGGUGGUUGGGUAAGUUAUCUUUCAAAUAUCUUUGCUUAACAAAGAGGAGGGGGAUAAUACUGCUCGACUAGAAUCUUCUCAAGGGAGAUCGGAACUGAGGGAGGAGUAGUGAAAUGCGUUGAUACCCUCGGGAACACCAGUGGCGUAGGCGGAUCUCUGGGAGAAGAUUGACACUGAGACACGAAAGCUAGGGGAGCGAAGCAGAUUAGAGACCUGCGUAGUCCUAGCCGUAAACGCAUGCUUGCCAGCUGCAUGAAUCUACCUUCGGGUGGUAUCGUGUGGCGAAGGUAACCCGUUAAGCAAGCCGCCUGGAAAGUACGGCCGCAAGGCUGAAAUUCAAAGGAAUUGGCGGGGAGGCACACAACCAGUGGAACAUGUGGUUUAAUUCGAGACUAACCGAAGAACCUCACCAGGGUUUGACAUGUAGCUGCACGUCUUAAGAAAUUAAGACUCUCUUGAAGGUGCUACACAGGUGCUGCAUGGCUGUCGUCAGCUCGUUCCGUGAGGAGUGCCCUUAAGUGGGACAACGAGCGCAACCCCUAUUACAUGUUAGAAAUGUCAUGCAAGACUGCCUUGCCAUUUGGCGGGGAGGAAGGAGGGGCAGACGUCAAGUCCGCAUGGUCCUUAUGCCCUGGGCUACACACAUGUUACAAUGAGUACGGCAAUGAGUCUGUCGCGAGCACGUAAGUGUAAGCUAAUCUCUUAAAUGUACUCUCAGUGGGGAUUGAGGUCUGCAACUCGACCUCAUGAACACGGAAUUGGUAGUAAUCGCGGGUCAGCUAUACCGCGGUGAUACGUUCUUGCCUCUUGCACACACCGCCCGUCAAACCAGCAAAGUCGAUUGUAUCCGAACCU